Molecule: ribosomal RNA, 465 nt
Filed under: uncultured bacterium
Lineage: Bacteria
Description: partial 16S ribosomal RNA
Rfam family: Bacterial small subunit ribosomal RNA
Source: RNAcentral
CCUACGGGAGGCAGCAGUGGGGAAUAUUGCGCAAUGGGCGAAAGCCUGACGCAGCGACGCCGCGUGAGGGAUGAAGGUCUUCGGAUCGUAAACCUCUGUCAGCCGGGAAGCACGCUCCCUCUGCUAAUCCGCCCUGAAUUUCCCCUACCUGCAAAGACAGCACCGCCUAACUCCGUCCCAGCCGCCGCUGUAAUACGGAGGGUGCGAGCGUUAAUCGGAAUUACUGGGCGUAAAGCGCUCGUAGGCGGGAUGUCAAGUCAAGGGUGAAAUCCCCGCGCUCAACGUGGGAACUGCCGUUGAAACGGGCAAACUGGAGUGUGUGAGAGGAUAGUGGAAUUCGAGGUGUAGGAGUGAAAUGCGUAGAUAUCUGGAGGAACAUCAGUGGCGAAGGCGACGAACUGGCACAUAACUGACGCUGAGGAGCGAAAGCGUGGGUAGCAAACAGGAUUAGAUACCCGGGUAGUC